UACGAAGGGUGCUAGCGUUGUUCGGAAUGACUGGGCGUAAAGGGUGCGUAGGCGGUAAGAUGCGUCUGAUGUGAAAUCCCUGGGCUUAACCUAGGAACUGCAUUGGAUACGGUCUUACUAGAGUCCGCGAGAGGAAGAUGGAAUUGUGCGUGUAGAGGUGAAAUUCGUAGAUAUGCACAAGAACACCGGUGGCGAAGGCGAUCUUCUGGAGCGGUACUGACGCUAAGGCACGAAAGCGUGGGGAGCAAACAGG
This 253-nucleotide ribosomal RNA is filed under the name uncultured bacterium. RNAcentral's name for it is "partial 16S ribosomal RNA". It matches the Rfam family "Bacterial small subunit ribosomal RNA", at positions 524 to 776 of the family's 1533-position model. The record is from RNAcentral.